UGAUGUGUUUGGAAUAGAGCCCAGUCUGAAAUUAUAAGCACUGGGGUACUCCUAUGUGUCUGGGACUAUGCCAAGUAUUUUAUAGAUGUUUUCUAAUUCUCUGUAUAACCAUACAAGGUAUAUAAUUUGCCAUAGGUUCAAAUGUGUACCCAGCAGGCUAGGAGUAGGGCUUUGAAUGUCACCUAGCUCCUGAUGUCUGGGUCCUAGGACACUGACCUGUUCAGAAUGGGUAGAACAAAAAUGGAAGCAGAUACUGACACUGCUGGUAGCUGUGAUUCUAAGAUAGAAUUCUGGACUCCCAGCAUUUGGGUAGGACCCCGGGAUCAUCCAGUUUAGGCCUUGCCAGUUACUAGGGGACCCUUUAAAAGUUGCUGAUGAGGGAAUGUUUUUGGAUGGUUUGGCAUGAGGGGCGGUACCCUCAGAUGGAAAUGGAGACCAGAGGAGAGAGUACAUGGCCCAGAGAAAGGGAAGAAAAGGAGAGUGGGGGUGAAGUUCCACAGUGUGUGCAGGACUGCCAGGAUUCCAUUCAGCAGCACUGGCCUCUUUUCAAAUCUAAACUGCCCUGGCGCUAUGCUUUGAAUUUCAAUCUUUCAUCCUUGGCCUUGCUCUGAGCAGUUAUUGUACUCACACCUUCCCCAGGCCUCAGGAAACUGGGAGAGGGGGGAUCUUGACUGACAUUUUAGAUCCUGUCUGCUGCUCACUGAUGAUGACUGUGGACGCAUCUCCCUGCUUCUCUGGGUCUGUUUCUUCAUCUCUAAAAUAGGUAUGCUAACAUUCCAAUGCUAAGUGUUAAACGAAGUUAUGUUUAUGGACAUACCUUUUCUCUGGGGCCUUUUCUGUGGCUUUCAAAGUUGAAGCUGUGUGAUUUGCCAGAGGCAAGAAUGAGAAGUAAAAUGCUGUAGCACUAAGAAAAUCAGUGGAAGGGUAGAGCUGGAGGAGUCCAAAGGCUAAGCCUUUGUAGUGCAGGUGGGGAAGACCCAGGCAAGGCACAGGACUCUCCCCAGCUCCCGGGGAAGUGUGUGGUGGGUGAGGUUUAGUGUGGGCUGGAAUUUUCUGAGCCUUUUCCUGAGAACUGAUGUCUGUCCUUUAUUCUUCUGCCCCCUAUAGGAUGCUCUGGAGUUUUGGCUGCAAGCUGGCGUGGAUGGGUUCCAGGUUCGGGACAUAGAGAAUCUGAAGGAUGCAUCCUCAUUUUUGGCUGAGUGGCAAAACAUCACCAAGGGCUUCAGUGAAGACAGGCUCUUGAUUGCGGGGACUAACUCCUCCGACCUUCAGCAGAUCCUGAGCCUACUCGAAUCCAACAAAGACUUGCUGUUGACUAGCUCAUACCUGUCUGAUUCUGGUUCUACUGGGGAGCAUACAAAAUCCCUAGUCACACAGUAUUUGAAUGCCACUGGCAAUCACUGGUGCAGCUGGAGUUUGUCUCAGGCAAGGCUCCUGACUUCCUUCUUGCCGGCUCAACUUCUCCGACUCUACCAGCUGAUGCUCUUCACCCUGCCAGGGACCCCUGUUUUCAGCUACGGGGAUGAGAUUGGCCUGGAUGCGGCUGCCCUUCCUGGACAGCCUAUGGAGGCUCCAGUCAUGCUGUGGGAUGAGUCCAGCUUCCCUGACAUCCCAGGGGCUGUAAGUGCCAACAUGACUGUGAAGGGCCAGAGUGAAGACCCUGGCUCCCUCCUUUCCUUGUUCCGGCGGCUGAGUGACCAGCGGAGUAAGGAGCGCUCCCUACUGCAUGGGGACUUCCACGCGUUCUCCGCUGGGCCUGGACUCUUCUCCUAUAUCCGCCACUGGGACCAGAAUGAGCGUUUUCUGGUAGUGCUUAACUUUGGGGAUGUGGGCCUCUCGGCUGGACUGCAGGCCUCCGACCUGCCUGCCAGCGCCAGCCUGCCAGCCAAGGCUGACCUCCUGCUCAGCACCCAGCCAGGCCGUGAGGAGGGCUCCCCUCUUGAGCUGGAACGCCUGAAACUGGAGCCUCACGAAGGGCUGCUGCUCCGCUUCCCCUACGCGGCCUGACUUCAGCCUGACAUGGACCCACUACCCUUCUCCUUUCCUUCCCAGGCCCUUUGGCUUCUGAUUUUUCUCUUUUUUAAAAACAAACAAACAAACAAACUGUUGCAGAUUAUAAGUGAACCCCCAAAUAGGGUGUUUUCUGCCUUCAAAUAAAAGUCACCCCUGCAUGGUG
This 2176-nucleotide small RNA is filed under the name Pan troglodytes (chimpanzee). Its description in RNAcentral is "retained intron". The record is from RNAcentral. Lineage: Eukaryota; Metazoa; Chordata; Mammalia; Primates; Hominidae.